AGAAAAUAAUUUCUGCUCAGUGAUUUAAAUAGCCGCAGUAUUCUGACUGUGCUAAGGUAGCAUAAUGAUUUGUCCUAUAAUUGAGGGCUGGAAUGAAAGAACUGACAAUACUAUGUCUUUCCUGGAGAAGUAAAAUAGAACUUAAUAUUUGCUUCAAAAAGAGCAACUUUUUAAAAAGACGAUAAGACCCUAUAAAACUUUAUUAAUAAAAACUUUAAAAAUUUUGAAACCUUUCUACCUUUUUUAAUUAAGCUGGGGCGGCAUCUUAAACACAUAAGAAAAAUUAACAUAAUUUUAUGGUUUUCUAGAUCUCACCAAAGAGCUAGAACAAGUUACUUUAGGGAUAACAGCACAAUUUUCUCUUAUAGAUCUUAUAGAAGAGAAAGACUUGUGACCUCGAUGUUGAAUUGAGGAGCCUUGUUUAAGCAAAAAUAAACGUAAGGAGGU
RNAcentral lists this ribosomal RNA (447 nucleotides) under Exiliniscus sp. VTDes005. RNAcentral describes it as "partial 16S ribosomal RNA". It matches the Rfam family "Archaeal large subunit ribosomal RNA", at positions 1939 to 2645 of the family's 2987-position model. Lineage: Eukaryota; Metazoa; Arthropoda; Malacostraca; Isopoda; Nannoniscidae. The record is from RNAcentral.